This 202-nucleotide ribosomal RNA is filed under the name Clostridioides difficile. RNAcentral's name for it is "partial 23S ribosomal RNA". It matches the Rfam family "Bacterial large subunit ribosomal RNA", at positions 194 to 397 of the family's 2925-position model. Lineage: Bacteria; Bacillati; Bacillota; Clostridia; Peptostreptococcales; Peptostreptococcaceae. The record is from RNAcentral.
UGAAACAUCUAAGUACCUGAAGGAAGAGAAAGAAAUUCGAUUCCGUAAGUAGCGGCGAGCGAACGCGGAUUAGCCAAAACCAAUAAAGUUUUCUUUAUUGGGGUUGCGGACAUAUCAUAACGAAGAGAUAUCGUAAUUGAAGAGGUUUGGAAAGACCCACCACAGAAGGUAAUAGUCCUGUAUGUUAAACGAGAAGACUUUA